AGAAUUUUAAGUUAAAAAAACUGUAAGCCUUCAAAGCUUAAUAUGAAUAAUAUUGUUCAAGUUCUA
Molecule: transfer RNA, 66 nt
Filed under: Loxocorone allax
Lineage: Eukaryota; Metazoa; Entoprocta; Loxosomatidae
Description: tRNA-Trp
Source: RNAcentral